CUCCUCCUCUGGCGCCCGCCGCGGCCGGUAAGUCCCUGCUGGAGGAGCUGCGGUGGUCCCCGAGUCAACUUUCAAUCCCCCUUUUGCUUCCUGCCUCGCCAUUCUCUUCUCCUCCUGGAAAGAUGGCUGUUUGGAGAAGGGGGAGAAGUUAGGGGGUCGCCAGCGCGGGGCGAAGGAGGGCGCGACAGCCUCGGCAGGAGCGGGCGGAGGUUUCUCCUCUGGCUCUUGGACUGCCUCUACCAGAGAAGGAAAGCCUGUGAAUCUGCAUCCUAGCCUAUCAGCCCUUCUGUAUCCCAUGAUGAGCUCACCAGUGCAGCCCGGUCAGUCUUUUUGCUUUUUCAACUGGUACAGGCUUCAUGUGAGAGAUAUUGCUUUGUGUUGCUUCAAACCAAGCAAUUUAAGUCAUGAAGGAACAUUUUCUUUCUGAUGAAGAUUAGUUCAUAAUAAAUCUUGAACUUUGCAUUGUAUAGUUAAUCCUCUAUUAACCCAGUUUGCUUUCUGGGCAACUUUUUUUCACUUGUAUUGUUCUCUGAGAACUGGGCUUUAUUCUUUUGCUUCUAAUGUAACAUUCAGAUUGAAUCUCAUGAAGUUAUGAAUAUUAAAUAUGAUACUGGAAUCUAAUUUGUACCCAUAGUCUCUUUGACCUAUUAUGUGUCAGUUUGUUUUU
This 667-nucleotide long non-coding RNA is filed under the name Ictidomys tridecemlineatus (thirteen-lined ground squirrel). Its description in RNAcentral is "lncRNA (ENSSTOG00000033941.1)". Lineage: Eukaryota; Metazoa; Chordata; Mammalia; Rodentia; Sciuridae. The record is from RNAcentral.